GCGCUCGUAGCUCAAUUGGAUCGAGCAAAGAGCUUCUACCUCUUAGGUUGUAGGUUCGAGUCCUACCGGGCGCG
Molecule: transfer RNA, 74 nt
Filed under: Bacteriophage sp.
Description: tRNA-Arg
Rfam family: tRNA
About the family: Transfer RNA (tRNA) molecules are approximately 80 nucleotides in length. Their secondary structure includes four short double-helical elements and three loops (D, anti-codon, and T loops).
Source: RNAcentral